GGGCCUGCGCAAGAACCAAGACUCCACAGACCCCCAGUCUGGAUUCUGAGUCAUUUUCGUGUCACAUUUCCUAAGGAUGCGCUCAGCUUAUCUUGGAGGUUGGCGAGCUGCACAUCCUUUCAGGGACCAACGCUCAGAAACACAGCUCAUAAUGCACCUACUGAAAGAAUCCUUCAAGCUGGAGUCCAAACUGUUGAGCUCAGAAAAGUGCAGGGUCAGCCCAGCACAGACUACCCACCCCAGGAACACGACCAGUUACUCUUCAGGUACCUGCAUCGUGACAACUACGCUGUUCCCCUCUGUUUGCCAUACACGACCACUGCACAGUGAACAGCUGUUACCCAUCUCGCUAACCCUCCUAUUUCUUCCAUGUCCAAGGUGCGGAGACGUCUGUGAUUCCAGUGUUUUUGGAAACUUCAAACUUGACUUUGAUGAGUGACUGCUAACAAGCAGAGUGUUUCCUUUCGGCUUUACCCUCAGUGUCACUUUGCCAGAGCUGUACCAGACAUGUUCAUAUUUACUUUUAUAUCUAAACCAAGGAGGCAAUGCUCUACCCACCCCCAAAAAGCCUCUCUUUAGCAGUGCAUACAGGAUUGAAGUGAUGCUAAUCAGGGACUUUGAUAAUUGAAGCUUGGGGAGAGAGAACCUUUCUUCUGGCCCCUUCAGUCUGUUUAAUGGGAUAAAAUUAGCCUGAGUGGCUGGUGUUUGAAGAGGAGGUGAUGUCGCUGGAAGUGCCUCCUGGGUUUGCUGCUGGACAAAGCAAUCAGGUGGAGUCGGGGAGGGCUGCGGGAGCGCUGAGGUAGGCGCAGCUUCUGCCACCCUAAUUAGCCUAAAUGAGCUGUGCCAGUUUUCUGCUUCUUUUUGAGUUGCCUUGCUAGUGCUUCCUUUGGAGCUGAAAGGAAGAACUAUGAAAUGGGGGCUGGCACUGUGGCAUAGUGGGUAAAGCCACAUCUGCAAUGUCGGCAUCCUAUAUGGGCCCCGGUUCAGGUUUCAACUGCUCCACUUCUGAUCCAGCUCUCUGCUAUGGCCUGGGAAAGCAGUAGAGGAUGGCCCAAGUCCUUGGGCCCUUGCACCUACAUGAGAGACUUGGAAGAAGCCCCUGGCUCCUGGCUUCUAAUCAGCCCAGCUCCAGUCAUUGUGGCCAUCUGGGGAGGGAACCAGCAGAUAGAAGACGUGUUUCUCUCUCUCUCUCUGCCUCUCUAACUCUGCCUUUCAAAUAGAUAAAUAAAUAAAUCUUUAAAAAAAAAAAGAAAUAUGAA
Molecule: long non-coding RNA, 1259 nt
Filed under: Oryctolagus cuniculus (rabbit)
Lineage: Eukaryota; Metazoa; Chordata; Mammalia; Lagomorpha; Leporidae
Description: lncRNA (ENSOCUG00000038238.1)
Source: RNAcentral